RNAcentral lists this long non-coding RNA (271 nucleotides) under Brassica napus (rape). Its description in RNAcentral is "long non-coding RNA (BNAP_LNC002474)". Lineage: Eukaryota; Viridiplantae; Streptophyta; Magnoliopsida; Brassicales; Brassicaceae. The record is from RNAcentral.
CUCAGGUGAAAGAGAGAUCGAUCUGAAGAGAUCAGCUUAUCGCCUUCUUCAUUUCGUAUUUCGCAUUUGUGUUUCAGAAUGAGAUUGACGCGAAGACACAGACAAACGCGACGAUUUCAUCUCCCAAUCCCGACCCGACACGUAGCCUCACGGGACGAGCCCAUCAUCCCUUAUUUUAGGCCCGUUCCACUCAUUUUCUUUUCUUUUUGAUUUAUUUUCGACCCAAAUUUUUUAAGGGCCCUGCCUUAAGGGACCCCGAUGCUGAUGCUCU